GUGAGGAAUAUUGCGCAAUGGGCGAAAGCCUGACGCAGCAACGCCGCGUGGAUGAUGACGGCCUUCGGGUUGUAAAAUCCUUUUCUGUGGGAAGAAACGGACGGUACCACAGGAAUAAGUGUCGGCUAACUACGUGCCAGCAGCCGCGGUAAAACGUAGGACGCAAGCGUUAUCCGGAUUUACUGGGCGUAAAGCGCGUGCAGGCGGCUUGUUAAGUCGUGCGUGAAAGCUCCCUGGCUCAACCGGGAGAGGUCGUACGAAACUAGCAGGCUAGAGGGCAGCAGAGGAGUGUGGAAUUCCGGGUGUAGUGGUGAAAUGCGUAGAUAUCCGGAGGAACACCAGUGGCGAAGGCGGCACUCUGGGCUGUACCUGACGCUAAGACGCGAAAGCAUGGGUAGCGAACGGGAUUAGAAACCCCAGUAGUCC
Molecule: ribosomal RNA, 426 nt
Filed under: uncultured bacterium
Lineage: Bacteria
Description: bacterial SSU rRNA
Rfam family: Bacterial small subunit ribosomal RNA
Source: RNAcentral